RNAcentral lists this ribosomal RNA (541 nucleotides) under Cladosporium sp. RNAcentral describes it as "eukaryotic LSU rRNA". The stretch from base 201 to 354 matches the Rfam family "5.8S ribosomal RNA". Lineage: Eukaryota; Fungi; Ascomycota; Dothideomycetes; Cladosporiales; Cladosporiaceae. The record is from RNAcentral.
GGUAACAAGGUCUCCGUAGGUGAACCUGCGGAGGGAUCAUUACAAGUACACUACCGGCCUAACCCGCCGGCUAUGUAUAACCCUUUGUUGUCCGACUCUGUUGCCUCCGGGGCGACCCUGCCUUCGGGCGGGGGCCCCGGGUGGACACUUCAAACUCUUGCGUAACUUUGCAGUCUGAGUAAAUUUAAUUAAUAAAUUAAAACUUUCAACAACGGAUCUCUUGGUUCUGGCAUCGAUGAAGAACGCAGCGAAAUGCGAUAAGUAAUGUGAAUUGCAGAAUUCAGUGAAUCAUCGAAUCUUUGAACGCACAUUGCGCCCCCUGGUAUUCCGGGGGGCAUGCCUGUUCGAGCGUCAUUUCACCACUCAAGCCUCGCUUGGUAUUGGGCGACGCGGUCCGCCGCGCGCCUCAAAUCGACCGGCUGGGUCUUCUGUCCCCUCAGCGUUGUGGAAACUAUUCGCUAAAGGGUGCCCGGGAGGCUACGCCGUAAAACAACCCCAUUUCUAAGGUGACCUCGGAUCACGUAUGUUCCCCCCUUCACCC